CGGGGCAGCGCCACACCGUCACCAUCACAUGAGCACUGCUGCUAUGAUCAAAAUGACCAGGACCUCCUGCUGUCUUGUCUCUUGUUGAUCGACCUUCAAAGUGUCAAGAUUACAUGGUGGAAGAUAGCCUUCCACUAUGUACUCCAGCCAGGUUGGGGAUACUUCUUGGACAAUGGAAAAUAAGUCCUAGGAAUGUCACAGGGCCAACACUUGAAGACAUACCAGAGAUGUGUUUUCUGAAGGCAUUUCACUUGGAAGUAUGGCAUAUCUUUGUUCCCAUUCACUUAUGAUCACUCAUUCAAAGCAGCGCUUGAAGAUUAGGACUUUCAAAGAAGAACCAAGAAAAAAAGAAUAAAAGCACACAGUACAAAAACAGAGAUAGUUGUAAUGUCAGUAUUAAAGAAAACCAAUGCACCCAAUCAGUGUCUUUGUAACAUCUCCCAUGGGAAAUUCAGCAUCUCACCCUAAAGUCUAUGCAUUUCAUGUCAGGUCAAGAUUUGUAUGAUCAGGGGCGACUGGGGAUAAAG
This is a long non-coding RNA of Boleophthalmus pectinirostris (great blue-spotted mudskipper), 527 nucleotides long. RefSeq lists it as uncharacterized. The transcript has 4 exons. The record is from RefSeq and is a predicted model, not a curated record. Lineage: Eukaryota; Metazoa; Chordata; Actinopteri; Gobiiformes; Gobiidae.